GCGCCCAUCGUCUAGCGGUUAGGACGCUGCCCUUUCACGGCGGAAACAGGGGGUCGAUUCCCCUUGGGCGUACCA
This 75-nucleotide transfer RNA is filed under the name Brucella melitensis. RNAcentral's name for it is "tRNA-Glu". It matches the Rfam family "tRNA". Rfam says of the family: Transfer RNA (tRNA) molecules are approximately 80 nucleotides in length. Lineage: Bacteria; Pseudomonadati; Pseudomonadota; Alphaproteobacteria; Hyphomicrobiales; Brucellaceae. The record is from RNAcentral. RNAcentral also lists the same sequence under 1 other name.